AUGGUUAAGUUAGAAAGGGCGCACGGUGGAUGCCUUGGCACUAGGAGCCGAAGAAGGACGGGACAAACACCGAUAUGCUUCGGGGAGCUGUAAGUAAGCGUUGAUCCGGAGAUUUCCGAAUGGGGGAACCCACUGUCCGUAAUGGGACAGUAUCCAUGCGUGAAUUCAUAGCGUAUGGAGGGCAUACCCGGGGAACUGAAACAUCUAAGUACCCGGAGGAGAAGAAAGCAAUAGCGAUUCCCUGAGUAGCGGCGAGCGAAACGGGAACAGCCCAAACCAAGAGGCGAGCCUCUUGGGGUUGUAGGACACUCAAUACGGAGUGACAAAGGAACGGAGUAGACGAAGCGGUCUGGAAAGGCCCGCCAUAGGAGGUAAGAGCCCUGUAGUCGAAACUUCGUUCCCUCCUGAGUGGAUCCUGAGUACGGCGGGACACGUGAAAUCCCGUCGGAAGCAGGGAGGACCAUCUCCCAAGGCUAAAUACUCCCUAGUGACCGAUAGUGAACCAGUACCGUGAGGGAAAGGUGAAAAGCACCCCGGGAGGGGAGUGAAAGAGAACCUGAAACCGUGUGCCUACAAGUAGUCAGAGCCCGUUCACGGGUGAUGGCGUGCCUUUUGUAGAAUGAACCGGCGAGUUACGAUGACGUGCGAGGUUAAGUCGAAGAGACGGAGCCGUAGCGAAAGCGAGUCUGAAUAGGGCGUUUAGUACGUCGUCGUAGACCCGAAACCAGGUGAUCUACCCAUGUCCAGGGUGAAGGUAGGGUAACACCUACUGGAGGCCCGAACCCACGCACGUUGAAAAGUGCGGGGAUGAGGUGUGGGUAGGGGUGAAAUGCCAAUCGAACUUGGAGAUAGCUGGUUCUCCCCGAAAUAGCUUUAGGGCUAGCCUCGAGGGAAGAGUCUUGGAGGUAGAGCACUGAUUGGGCUAGGGGCCCUCAUCGGGUUACCGAACUCAGUCAAACUCCGAAUGCCAAUGACUUAUCCUUGGGAGUCAGACUACGAGUGAUAAGAUCCGUGGUCAAAAGGGAAACAGCCCAGAUCACCAGCUAAGGUCCCAAAGUAUACGUUAAGUGGAAAAGGAUGUGGAGUUGCCGAGACAACCAGGAUGUUGGCUUAGAAGCAGCCACCAUUUAAAGAGUGCGUAAUAGCUCACUGGUCGAGUGACUCUGCGCCGAAAAUGUACCGGGGCUAAACGUAUCACCGAAGCUGUGGGAUGACUGACGUCAUCGGUAGGGGAGCGUUCUAAGGGCGUCGAAGCUAGACCGGAAGGACUAGUGGAGCGCUUAGAAGUGAGAAUGCCGGUAUGAGUAGCGAAAACAGAGGUGAGAAUCCUCUGCACCGAAAGCCUAAGGGUUCCUGAGGAAGGCUCGUCCGCUCAGGGUUAGUCGGGACCUAAGCCGAGGCCGAAAGGCGUAGGCGAUGGACAACAGGUAGAGAUUCCUGUACCACCUCCUCACCGUUCGAGCGAUGGGGGGACGCAGGAAGGUAGGGCGAGCAGGCUGCUGGAAUAGCC
RNAcentral lists this ribosomal RNA (1510 nucleotides) under Halomonas sp. Its description in RNAcentral is "partial 23S ribosomal RNA". It matches the Rfam family "Bacterial large subunit ribosomal RNA", at positions 1 to 1508 of the family's 2925-position model. The record is from RNAcentral. Lineage: Bacteria; Pseudomonadati; Pseudomonadota; Gammaproteobacteria; Oceanospirillales; Halomonadaceae.